Heterocephalus glaber (naked mole-rat) is the source of this 597-nucleotide long non-coding RNA. NCBI's taxonomy places the organism in Eukaryota, Metazoa, Chordata, Mammalia, Rodentia, Bathyergidae. The record is from Ensembl.
CUGAUUUCUGAGGCUGAACACAGGAGCAGAGAGGGCCAGCGUGUAGAGGGAGGAUGUUUUCUUCUCUUGCUCUGGAAUUUUAAUCGGGCCACCCUAAUAAUCAUGACGCCAAUGAAACUACACAGAUGGAGGCGUGCCUGAGGUCAGGCAACUUGCGCGGGGUCACAGUCAUCUCUGCCAUCCUGGGAGUUCUAGGAAGCAUGUCAGGGGUAAGGUCUUGAGCAUCCCAUGCAGACAGGCCUGGAGCAGUCCUGCAUUCGCUGAUGCCUGGACCAGCUUGGACCCUCAAGAGGCAUCCCUGAGGCCCGGACAGUAAAUUCCACUCUGGGGAACCCGGAAGAAAGGAUGGAGACAAGGAAGCGAGACUGGAGUUCUGGAAAGGCUGCUAUGGCUCUCAAGACGUCCCGAGACCCUGAACGCCAUCUCUCGAGUCCCGCCCCCAAGGGAUCAGCUCCAAGGCCCUGCGUCUGGAAGCUGCUUUGCAUCUCUGGCUCACUGCAUCCCAGCCUCUCACUUCUUCCUUGUCUGCGUCCAGGCCCCGGAGUCAGCGUGGCACAGCGUGGCUGGAGCUCUGCCAGUGGGGGAGGAGGACUGGGC